CAUGUUACUGUAAGUCCUAGGUUUCGGUUUCAAUAUUGUUAUAAAAAAUUAUUGUUUUUGCUUCAUGAUUCACUACUUCAGAUAUGAAAUAUCUCUCUUUUGAGCACCUGAACAUUGCGUUAUCUGAGGCAAGCAUGUUUGCUGCAGUUUAUAUUACUAUGGAAACUUAUAUAGUUCCUUUUAAUGUAACGACCUCUUUUAUCAGAGCCAUUAACAUAACCGGUUGUAGCAGUAAAGAUCAAUACAGUAUAAGAGAUGAAAGAUUAGAUAGUUAAUGUAAAUGACUAGGAUCCUGAUGAAUUACUCCUAUAGUAUUUAACGACAAUAAGACAAGUAUAUAUUGAAAUAUAGGACACUAAUAACGUAAAUAUUUGCUUCCUUUUCUACUUUUCAGAGGAAGACCAGUUUGAGAUAAUUCAACCUUCCCAAUUGCUUGAAGUUUGACUUUCAAUGGUCAAGCUUGGCAUUUUGAUCAAAGCCAUUUAAAGACAAUUUCCGAAACUUUAAUGGUGAAAUGGUGAAAAUGAUAAAAUCUAUGAGAAAUACUUAUAACUUUGAAAUUUAUCAAAUUGUAUAAAAUUUGUCUAUAAAUAUAAAAAAUUAUUGUUUUUGCUUCAUGAUUCACUACUUCAGAUAUGAAAUAUCUCUCUUUUGAGCACCUGAACAUUGCGUUAUCUGAGGCAAGCAUGUUUGCUGCAGUUUAUAUUACUAUGGAAACUUAUAUAGUUCCUUUUAAUGUAACGACCUCUUUUAUCAGAGCCAUUAACAUAACCGGUUGUAGCAGUAAAGAUCAAUACAGUAUAAGAGAUGAAAGAUUAGAUAGUUAAUGUAAAUGACUAGGAUCCUGAUGAAUUACUCCUAUAGUAUUUAACGACAAUAAGACAAGUAUAUAUUGAAAU
Molecule: long non-coding RNA, 899 nt
Filed under: Solanum tuberosum (potato)
Lineage: Eukaryota; Viridiplantae; Streptophyta; Magnoliopsida; Solanales; Solanaceae
Description: long non-coding RNA (STUB_LNC002180)
Source: RNAcentral